CAGGAAAUAAAGCUAUCAAAGCGCAGAGAAAUAACAGAACUUGCAUUUUUCAAGUACAUUUCUCAGAAUUUACAUUUUAUUUCGUAGCUCUCAGUAGACAUUUGUGCCAAUUGAGAGGCUUUGUUCUGAAGUGGUUCUGGAUGUUUUUCCCAGAUUAGAUCUCUCUGGAAAGAUAUUCAUGUGGAGAAAAUUAGCCUGGGACAUAGCAGAAGAUUUCCAGGACUGUAUUUUCUGCUGGCAGAUGCAUUUCAGUGUGGCUGUGAGACCCUACCAAGGUGACCUGACAGUGUUUCAGAGGACGUCGAGCACUAAUUUUUCACACAAUGUCUGCCUGUGUGCGGAGAAGCGGAGAGGAGAGGAGGAACCAGCCCCAAGGCUGGCUGCAGAAACUCCCUGCAGUCAUCCCCUCGCUGCCGUAGAGAAGUGGAGCUGAAGCACCCUCCUGUACCUCGGGAAACUGCUCCGCCUCAUCUCCCUUUGCUGUGGACUGGGGAGACCAGCCUUCAUUUACGAUGACAUUGUUCACUCGGCAUGCAAAGGUCUGCCGUGCAUUUGCAGCCUGGUGCAGCACCAUACAGUGGCAGAAGUGAAGUGCUGCAGCCUAAAGAAACGCUUUAAAAUCUGUUUCUCUGGAGAAAA
Molecule: long non-coding RNA, 639 nt
Organism: Parus major (Great Tit)
Lineage: Eukaryota; Metazoa; Chordata; Aves; Passeriformes; Paridae
Source: Ensembl